AAAAGACUAAUAAGGACUAAAAUGUAAUACGCUAAAAGGAACAGGGAUCGAGCGGGAAGAUAUCCCAAAAUUCCCUAUGCACACUGUUUCUCUGACAAAUCGGGGAUUAAAUUGCACAAAGAAUAAAAUAAAAAGAGGAAAUAAAAAAUAACAAUCAAGCAAUGGGAUGAAAUUAAAUAAUAGUGAAAAUGCGGAAGGAUUUAAACAGCAAUUAGCCAAUUUUUCUAGAAAACACGCGGAUCCUGUGGGCGGGUCAGGUUGGGUGUGCGUCAAAAGCCAAAACGACAUCGUUUUGGCAUAUGGGAGUCAAGCCCAAAACGGCGUCGUUUUAUAUCUCUAUAAAUGCCAAAAAAAACUCAAAAAAAAUCAUUUUAACCCUCUUUCAAAAAAAAACUUAGUCUUUUUUUAUUUUUUUUCUCUCUAGCCCCUUUGGCCUGCCUUUGCUCCUGUCAUCGGCCACCGUGGUGACCACCGGUCGCCGGCGAAGGCACCGUCAUCCACGGUGGCCGAAAAGUCCAAAAGUCUCACCUUUUGUUCCUUUUUUCGAGUAGAACCCCGAUUUAGGGUUAAAAAUGGUCGAAAAAAGCCCUCAAAGAUAAAAAAGAAACAAAGAACCCUUAGUUUCUGCUCACUUCCGUCGUAAACAUUUGAAGAACCCCUAAGGGUCCACGGUCUUCCAGAACGGAGGGAGAAGCAACGACGAUAGAUGUAUAAAAUUUUUUUUAUGUUAUUUUAUGUAUUUCAAAAAUAAAAGAUGAAAAUGAAAAAAAAACACAUUUUUUUUUAUAUUCAAUCUCUUUUUUUGUAUAUUUUCUUCUAUCUUUCAAAAAAAAGAACCCCCUUACAAUUAGUUCAAUGGCUUUUAUAGCUGAUUUACAAUCUUAAUUUUUCUACUAUUUCAACUGCUUAUAUUUAGUUUAUGUCUUUUCUUCCUUUUUCUUUGCAGGCAAUGGUGGCAAAGCAAUUGGUGGAGUAGGUGGCUGCAGAGGCUAGGUUUUUUUUUUUUUUUUUAAAAGUUUAUGUUUUUAGGCUAUGUGAACUUUAAGGUUUUCUGUUAUUUAGGUUUAUAAAUUGGGCCUGCUGCUUUCUUUGUAAAUGAACUUUUUUAUAUAUUUUUUGGUUUAAUCUUUUUGUUUUAUUUAUUUGAAAUUUGUGCCCGGGUGAAAUUGACCCAUUACAGAUGAGAUAAAAAAUCAAGGACUAAUAUAUUAAAUUUCAGAAAGCAGCAGAAUGUAAUCUUUGGAUCAUGCCAAUCAGAGGAAUGAGUAGUUAAAGCUUAGAAACGACUUUCAUAUUUGCAAUUUUAUGGGUCAUGCUUCUUGUAGUUGAUAAAAAAAAAUUAUUGUCCUUUGAUGUUUUGAGUGGAAAAGGGUUAUGAUGGGCAAAAAAUCCCAUCCGACCAAGCAAGAGUCAAGGGAGUAGGCCUAAGACACGGGUCAGAACAGCAACAUGCUACAAGAAUGUUAUUAAAAAGAUGAUCAUAUCUGUUGAAUAUUGGCAAUAUCCCACAUUAGGAAAAGAUAGAAAGGGAGGGGGUUUGGUUUGUUAUAUAUAGAACCCCUCCCCCUUUGGUUUUAUAAUCCCAAAAAUCUUCUCCUUUGUAAUAUUUCUAGAAGAAAUAUUAAUUUGGUAGUGUCCGAGGACGUAAGCUAAAUUGGCCGAACCUCGUUAAAUCUCUGGUAUUUUAUUUCUUAUUUGUUUGCUUAUAUUUAAUAGCUUUAUGUUGGUUAUAUUUAUUUAGUUAUUAUUGCUAUAAAUAUCUAAGUGAGUUCUGUCUAGUUGUUGGGUUUUAAGCGGGACCAUUUGUGACCCCUCCAAUUUAACUGGGAAUUUUCUUAGUAUAAUUGUUGGCAUAAUAAUUAUCUAAAUAUUUCUGAUAAUAUUGUUAUUAAUAUUAUCGUCGCUUCCGCAACAAUUGGUAUCCGAGCCAAGGUUUUGUAGUAUGCUCUGUGUUUGCAGCUUAGUCUGAUCUUACACAUCAGAAACAUUUCCUAAAGCUUGUGAGUAUUCUGCAUUUGGUGGCUAUUAAGUAGAAGCUAUGGCAAAAAUGACAGAAGAAAAACCAUCCAUAUCAACAACUUCCACUUCGUACAUUUUGCCGAGGAUUGGAACUGCAAAUACGAGAUUUGUAGUGGAAAUUUUUGAUGGAACAGGUCAUUUUGGCAUGUGGCAAAGUGAGCUUCUAGAUGCCCUCUUUCAACAGGGUCUAGAUAUUGCCAUUGAGGAAGAAAAACCAGAAGGGGUUGAUGAUAAAGAAUGGAAGACCAUCAACCGAUUGGCAUGUGGUACAAUUCGAUCAUGUCUUUCUAGAGAGCAGAAGUAUACAUUCAGUAAAGAGACUUCUGCAAGUAAAUUGUGGAAAGCAUUGGAGGAGAAAUUCUUGAAGAAGAACAGUCAAAAUAAGUUGCAUAUGAAGAAAAGACUGUUUCGUUUCAAUUAUGUUCCUGGUACCACGAUGAACGAGCACAUUACCAAUUUUAAUCAGCUGGUGGCUGAUUUGUUGAAUUUGGAUGUGACUUUUGAAGACGAAGACUUGGCGUUAAUGUUGUUGGGAUCGCUUCCUGAGGAGUUUGAGUACCUUGAAACUACUCUACUUCAUGGAAAAUCGGAAGUAACUUUCAAUGAAGUAACUGCUGCAUUGUAUAGCUAUGAACUACGCCGAAAGGAUAAGUUGAAAGGUUCAGGUGAAGCAGCAGUGGAAGCAUUGGUAACAAGAGGUCGUCAGCAAAGUCAGUCUAAGGGGAAGAGAAGAAAGUCCAAAGGUCGAGCUGUUGCCAAAGAUGAAUGUUCCUUUUGCAAAGAAAAAGGACAUUGGAAGAAAGAUUGUCCAAAAUUGAAAAAAAAAGGGAAGACUCCGCAAGAUGCAAAUGUUGCAGAAUGCAAUAGUGAAGCAGAGUCAAACUUUUCUCUUAGUAUGACAUCUUCAACAUCACAUGCAGAUGAGUGGAUCAUGGAUUCUGGUUGUUCCUAUCAUAUGUGUCCCAUUUGGGAAUGGUUCUUUGAAUUUCAAAAACUAGAUGGAGGGGUUGUUUACAUGGGUAAUGAUAACACAUGUAAAAUAGCCGGGAUAGGUUCAAUUAAACUGAGGAGUCAUGAUGGAUCUACUAGAAUUUUGCGGGAUGUACGAUAUGUCCCAAAGUUGAAGAAGAAUCUCAUCUCUUUGGGGUCGUUGGAAUCUAAAGGCCUAGUUGUGACAAUACGAGAUGUAGUUCUUAAAGCAACUUCAGGAGCAUUGGUGAUGUUGAAAGGCAUAAGAAAGAACAAUCUGUAUUACUACCAAGGUAGUACAGUGGUCGGGACAACAGCAGCAGCAAUUUCGAGUACCAAGAAGGACGCUGAGGCAACACAGUUGUGGCAUAUGCGUUUGGGCCAUGCUGGUGAAAAAUCCUUGCAAACUCUAGCCAAGCAAGGAUUAUUGAAAGGUACAAAGACUUGCAAACUUGAAUUUUGCGAGCAUUGUGUUCUGGGAAAACAACGAAGGGUGAAAUUUGGCACUGGAAUUCACAAUACUAAAGGUAUUCUGGAUUAUGUGCAUUCUGAUGUAUGGGGACCGUCCAAGACUCCAUCACUUGGAGGAAGACGUUAUUUUGUCACUUUUAUUGAUGAUUUUUCCAGACGAGUUUGGGUGUUUCCUAUGAAGAACAAAGAUGAGGUGCUUGAAGUUUUCCUUAAGUGGAAAACUAAAAUUGAAAAUCAGACAGGAAGGAAGAUUAAGGUUCUCCGAUCAGACAACGGUGGAGAAUAUAAAAGCGAUCCAUUCCUGAAGAUAUGCCAAGAUUGUGGCAUAGUAAGGCACUUCACCGUAGGUGGAACACCGCAACAGAAUGGGGUGGCAGAGCGUAUGAAUCGAACGCUUGUGGAGAAAGUUCGAUGUAUGUUAUCUAAUGCUGGAUUAGAUAGAAAGUUUUGGGCUGAGGCUGUGACGUACGCUCAACAUCUCAUCAAUCAUUUGCCAUCAUCUGCUAUAAAUGGCAAGACUCCUUUGGAGAAAUGGUAUGGAAAACCUGCUACUGAUUAUGACAUCUUGCGCAUUUUUGGUUCUAUUGCAUAUUAUCAUGUGAAAGAAUCAAAGUUAGAUCCAAUAGCAAAGAAGGCUCUAUUCAUGGGCUUCAAUGCUGGUGUUAAGGGAUAUCGUUUGUGGUGUCUAGAGGCAAAGAAGACGAUAAUCAGUAGGGAUGUUACCUUUCAUGAAUCUGCCGUGUUGAAUAAGGUAAAUCCAGAAGGAGUGAGUAGUACUUCGCAGCAGGUGGAGUGUACUCCGCAGCAGGUGGAGUUUGAGCAGAGUGUGGUAAUUCCAGCAGAAGGUACCACUAGUGAUUCUUCAUUGGCAGAUGCAGAGUCAGAUGAGGAAGAGGUUUCUACCCAAGAACCUCAACAGCAAUCAGAGCCAAUUGCAGUCAGAAGGCAGAAACGAGAAAUUCAGAAACCAGCUCGUUUCACUGACAUGGUAGCUUAUGCACUUCCAGUUGUUGAUAAUAUUCCAUCCACUUACACCGAAGCCAUUCAGAGUUUAGAGAAUAAUAGAUGGUUAGGUGCAAUGGAAGAGGAAAUGCAAUCUCUAGAAAAAAACAAGACGUGGAAGUUGGCACAACUACCAAAAGGGAAGAAGGCGAUUGGUUGCAAAUGGGUAUUUGCAAAGAAAGAAGGAUUUCCCGACAAAGAAGAUGUUCGUUACAAGGCAAGGUUAGUGGCUAAAGGCUACGCUCAGAAGGAGGGAAUUGACUAUAAUGAGGUAUUUUCUCCAGUUGUUAAACAUUCCUCCAUUAGAAUUUUGUUGGCCUUGGUAGCGCAGUUGAAUUUGGAGCUAGCUCAACUUGAUGUGAAGACCGCGUUUCUACACGGUGAUUUGAAGGAGGAAAUCUAUAUGACUCAGCCAGAUGGAUACAGGGUUGCUGGUAAAGAAAAUUGGGUGUGUAAACUUAGCAAAUCGUUGUACGGAUUGAAAUAAUCUCCGAGACAAUGGUACAAACGAUUUGACAGGUUCAUGAAGGACCAGAAGUACAAAAGAAGCAAAUACGAUCAUUGUGUGUAUUUGCGCAAGCUUCAAGAUAGUUCCUACAUCUACUUACUCUUGUAUGUUGAUGAUAUGCUGAUUGCAGCAAAGAGCCAAAUGGAGAUUGAUAGACUGAAGGCUCAGUUGAGUAAAGAGUUUGAGAUGAAGGAUUUAGGGGAAGCUAAGAAGAUUCUCGGCAUGGAAAUAACUCGGGAUAGAAAGAGGGGCAAACUUUGGCUGUCACAAAAACAGUAUUUGGAGAAGGUACUACAACGUUUCGGUAUGUCUGAAGGUACAAAACCUGUAAGUACCCCAGUUGCUCCUCAUUUUAAACUAAGUAACCAGUUAUCUCCAACGACUAAGGAAGAACGAGAGUACAUGGCAAAAGUCCCAUAUGCAAAUGCAGUUGGAAGCUUGAUGUAUGCAAUGGUAUGUACAAGACCAGAUAUUUCACAGGCUGUUAGUGUUGUUAGCAGGUACAUGCAUGAUCCGGGCAGGGGUCAUUGGCAAGCUGUGAAAUGGAUUCUGCGGUAUCUCCAAAAUACCAUAGAUGUCGGAUUGGCAUUCGAGCAGGAUGAAUCAUUUGGUCAAUGCAUAGUUGGAUAUUGUGAUUCUAAUUAUGCAGGUGAUUUGGAUAAGCGACGGUCUACAACUGGCUAUUUGUUUACUUUAGCGAAAGCGCCAGUUAGUUGGAAAUCUACCUUACAGUCAACGGUGGCUUUGUCUACAACAGAGGCAGAGUAUAUGGCAAUUACAGAGGCUGUGAAGGAAGCAAUUUGGCUUCAUGGAUUGCUUAAAGACUUGGAAGUUGGUCAGAAACAACUUAAGGUAUAUUCUGACAGUCAGAGUGCUAUUCAUUUAGCAAAGAAUCAAGUUUUUCAUGCACGAACGAAGCACAUAGACGUUCGCUAUCACUUUGUGCGGGAAAUUCUCGAAGAAGAGGAGAUACUUCUCCAAAAGAUUCACACUACGGAGAAUCCUGCAGAUAUGCUGACUAAGGUGGUUACAAGGGCCAAGUUUGAACAUUGUUUAGACUUGAUCAAUGUCCGACACAUUUGAUAUGGCGUCGUUGGCGCAAAUUUGAAGACACUAUUGAAGUUUGUGUUAUGAGAAGAUGUUCGAAGAUGUGGAAUAUCGCCAAGGUGGAGAUUUGUUGAAUAUUGGCAAUAUCCCACAUUAGGAAAAGAUAGAAAGGGAGGGGGUUUGGUUUGUUAUAUAUAGAACCCCUCCCCCUUUGGUUUUAUAAUCCCAAAAAUCUUCUCCUUUGUAAUAUUUCUAGAAGAAAUAUUAAUUUGGUAGUGUCCGAGGACGUAAGCUAAAUUGGCCGAACCUCGUUAAAUCUCUGGUAUUU
Molecule: long non-coding RNA, 6344 nt
Filed under: Gossypium barbadense (sea-island cotton)
Lineage: Eukaryota; Viridiplantae; Streptophyta; Magnoliopsida; Malvales; Malvaceae
Description: long non-coding RNA (GBAR_LNC006014)
Source: RNAcentral